Long non-coding RNA from Athene cunicularia (burrowing owl), 459 nucleotides. RefSeq lists it as uncharacterized. The transcript is spliced from 5 exons. The record is from RefSeq and is a predicted model, not a curated record. Lineage: Eukaryota; Metazoa; Chordata; Aves; Strigiformes; Strigidae.
GGGAGCGAUCGCCGGGGACGCUGCGGUGAAGGGAACCCCGGCCCGUCGUCGUGCUGCAGCCUCGUGCAGGCGGGGAUGAUGAGAGGGUGCGGUGGAGGGAGCGCUGGCGGGCACAACGCCUCCCUCAGGAAACCCCGGCGCGGGUAACGCCAUCCCUUCCCCGCUGUGCUGGCAUAUUGCAGAAGAGCUGUGCUGGCAGGAAGAUGGUGCUUAUUCUGUGAGACUGUAUUUUCAGCAUGUUAUGCAACAGCAGCAGGAGACCCACAUGGCCUCAUUUGCUUUCCACAUGUCUUUCUGAGAUCCAUCCUGGCUAGGAGAGAGUAAUCCACCCCUCCCAGGACAUCAAAUUAAGGCUGAGAAGACAACUGUCUCAGACAAACCCUCAGAGCCUUCAGAGACACCAGUGGAAUCAUACAGAGGUUUUCUGGAGAACAGCUGUUCUGUUCAACCUCAGCCAUC